GAUGAGGUGGCUGAGUGGUUAAGGCGAUGGACUGCUAAUCCAUUUUACUCUGCACGCAUGGGUUCAAAUCCCAUCCUCAUUG
RNAcentral lists this transfer RNA (82 nucleotides) under Pelodiscus sinensis (Chinese soft-shelled turtle). It matches the Rfam family "tRNA". From Rfam's summary of the family: Transfer RNA (tRNA) molecules are approximately 80 nucleotides in length. Their secondary structure includes four short double-helical elements and three loops (D, anti-codon, and T loops). The record is from Rfam by way of RNAcentral. Lineage: Eukaryota; Metazoa; Chordata; Testudines; Trionychidae.